Molecule: non-coding RNA, 174 nt
Filed under: Streptomyces sp. CB02488
Lineage: Bacteria; Bacillati; Actinomycetota; Actinomycetes; Kitasatosporales; Streptomycetaceae
Description: Streptomyces sRNA scr5239
Rfam family: Streptomyces sRNA scr5239
About the family: It inhibits agarase DagA expression by direct base pairing to the dagA coding region, and it represses translation of methionine synthase metE (SCO0985) at the 5' end of its open reading frame.
Source: Rfam by way of RNAcentral
CCUCCGCUCUCCCCGCACAGGAGAGCGGAACGAGGUACCCGCGCUCUCUGCCCUGACUGCGCCGGUACCUCUCCCGGGCCGGGGGCACCGCACACCGCCGGCCCGACUGACCGCCUCCGGGCGGUCUUACUCCGGGCUGCGGUGCUGGUCGGGCUGAGGGUCCCGGCCCGGCGC